Molecule: long non-coding RNA, 889 nt
Filed under: Coffea arabica (coffee)
Lineage: Eukaryota; Viridiplantae; Streptophyta; Magnoliopsida; Gentianales; Rubiaceae
Description: long non-coding RNA (CARA_LNC002051)
Source: RNAcentral
UCGGCAUUUGGCAAGUAUGAUCAUCAUGUCAUUCCCUGUGGCUUUUCCCAUCCUGUAAAUACAUGUAGGACAGGUGGAGGACUUCUUAGGACGUGGCCCAAUGGAGAUUUUGUCAGCUCAUGUAACGGGCAAACAUAGAAGAAUUUCUCAUGAGCCGUAGGGGCCGUUAUACUGGUAGAGUAUUCUUCACAAUACAGAGGAGGAUCACGGUGGUUGCCGACAAUUGGAAAAACAAUAUGAAUAGCAUCAUAAAAGUAAUCAAAGCAAAUACCACAACGAACGAAAGGGGUGUGCCAUCUCUGGCUGGCCUCGGCCCAUGUCAUGUCAGUGAGUACAUUUGCUUGGAAGCCAUCCGUAAAUGCAUGAAACCACGUAGUGUGUGUACAUGCUCUGACCUUUCUAAAAUAUUAGUUACUUUUUUCUGGUGCUUUUCCUCUUGGUCUUCUGCGUUCCAAAAUCAAAGCUGACAAUGAUUGUUAGCUAACUUUGUGCAUAUGGCAAUUUUCCACUAGCAGAAGAUGCGGACAAAGUCCAUAUCAAAAUCAACUUAACCACCUCAUUAUCUUAUCCGACUGGCAGGAAUUUGCACCAAGAUAAAUGAGUACUCCCCCUGCUCACACUAAAAGAUCCAUCCCCACCAGUAUUGAAGGUAGUUCAGCUGUCUAAAUUCUUCCAUAUUUUGAUCAAUUUAUAGCACAUCUAACGAUCUUCCAAUAAAUCACUUUUUCUGCUUAACUAUUUGACAAUAAUUUUGCUGCACAUCUUCUUCUUUUUUGCAAUGCCAAAAGCCAAAAGCCAAAAGCAAUUCUGAGAUCAAAUCGUGGUGGUCGUGUUCCAAACUGAUACAACUAGGCGAUUCUAGAUGACUCUCGAGCAAUGUCAAACACGG